This 240-nucleotide unclassified non-coding RNA is filed under the name soil metagenome. RNAcentral's name for it is "partial contains 5.8S ribosomal RNA, internal transcribed spacer 2, and large subunit ribosomal RNA". The record is from RNAcentral.
AAGACUAUAGACCUGCGGAGUACCUGCGGAAGGAUCAUUAUAGAGUGGUAAACCCUCUGUAAAAGGGGGGGACCUCCUGUCCUUUGUAGGCUCUUUUUUAAAGGGCUUUUUUUAAUUUUCUGCUUCGGUGGGGUUAUCCCACCGGAACAACCUCAAAACUCUGAUCAAAAAAUCGUUCUGUCUGAGAACUUUUUAUAAUAAAAAAAACUUUCAACAAUGGAUCUCUAGAUCGGAAGAGCA